ACUUCUUAGGAGGGGGUGGAGGAGAGUGGUAAACUGGGUGUGGGUGAGGGUAAGGCUUGUGCACUGGUGGUGGGGGAGAUGGGUAUUUGUAUGGCUUCUUUGGUGGUGGAGGUGGUGGGGAGUGGUAGAUUGGGUGAGGGUGAGGGUGAGGGUGUGGGUGAGGGUAAUGGUGAGGAGGGGGUGGAGGAGAUUGGUAGACUGGGUGUGGAUGAGGGUAGGGCUUGUGCACUGGUGGUGGUGGAGAUUGGUAGACUGGGUGUGGAUGAGGGUAGGGCUUGUGCACUGGUGGUG
RNAcentral lists this long non-coding RNA (291 nucleotides) under Phaseolus vulgaris (common bean). RNAcentral describes it as "long non-coding RNA (PVUL_LNC002081)". Lineage: Eukaryota; Viridiplantae; Streptophyta; Magnoliopsida; Fabales; Fabaceae. The record is from RNAcentral.